Molecule: long non-coding RNA, 494 nt
Organism: Neofelis nebulosa (Clouded leopard)
Lineage: Eukaryota; Metazoa; Chordata; Mammalia; Carnivora; Felidae
Exons: 2
Source: RefSeq, a predicted model, not a curated record
ACCACUUUUGUUAUUCUUGAAUGAUGGUUCAGCUGGUUUAGAAUUCUAGAUUGAGUUCUAUUCCCUCAGCACUUUGAGGUCAUUGUUUUCAUUGUUCUUUUACAGCCAUUGUUGCUGAUAUGAAGUCUGCCAUUAGUUGGAUUAGCAUUCAUUUGAUAUAGAGCGCCUCACUGGACUGCUCCAUGGCUAAUCUACUACUCAGUUCUUGGCUUUUCUUCUAUGUUUAGACAUCUGAGCUCAUCACCACACUCCUCAUUCUCCAAUUAUUAUUGGGCUCUUUCCCAUGCCCCGGCCUCCAAGCUGGACAGCUAUCCGGCAGGAUUCUCACUGCAUUAAGAUGGUAUCUCAAGGGCAACAGGGCCCUUCUGAGCCAGAAUGAAAGGAGUAUCUUCUAUUCUUCUCGGCCAACACGGGAGAUUCUGGAGAAGUGUAGCUGAUAUGAGACGAUUCUUUAUUGGGCUGGAUGGUCUAAUACCAUCUCCAAUUUUUCGUGA